AUGUUGCCUAUACAUUAUUUCACUAGAAACCAAUCUGAAAAUAAGGUGAUGGUUGUGUUUGUGUACCGCAGGAGGUGGAGUUAAUCAGGAGCAUCCAGGCUCUGUUGAAGAGAACGCUGAGUCAGGCUGUCAAUCAAAUCAAGAACAGAACGUACAUAAACCAAAAAUCAACUCGCUGAUGGGACGUUCCAUUAUAAGGAGAGUGGCCAGCUCCAAGG
This is a long non-coding RNA of Oncorhynchus gorbuscha (pink salmon), 218 nucleotides long. RefSeq lists it as uncharacterized. The transcript is spliced from 2 exons. The record is from RefSeq and is a predicted model, not a curated record. Lineage: Eukaryota; Metazoa; Chordata; Actinopteri; Salmoniformes; Salmonidae.